AUGAGCCCAUCGAAACGUCACUCACUCCCCUCCUCCCCCCACCAAAGAAAUUCUCCCCCAGUAACCUGCUACAAACGCCUCCCCCGUCCCGCANNNNNNNNNNNNNNNNNNNNNNNNNNNNNNNNNNNNNNNNNNNNNNNNNNNNNNNCGGCCUUGCGCUUCUUGGGCCGAGCCCUAGCUGGGGCGCCCCCGAUCAUCUCCUCCUCCCAUCUCGCUCUCAGUUUUGGGACUUCCAGCAUGGCUGAUGAAACUGGCAAUGACAGUCAGAUGUUCGAAGGUAAUGAGAUUGUUGACCCUGGUAAUGAGGCAGUCCAUGGUGAUGAGGCAGUCCAAGGUGGCGAGUUGGUCGAAGUUGAUGAACUAGCUCAAGGUGACGAGUUGGCUCAAGGCGAGGACUUAACACAGGGUGACGAAUUGCUCCAAGGGAAUGAGAUGGCCAUCACUGAGGUGGCCACUCCUCCAACCACGAGGCGCCGGAGAAAGAAGUCCCUGGUGUGGGAGCACUUCACUAUUGAAGAUGCUGCUGGAGGGGCUACUCGGGCUUGCUGCAAACUUUGCAAGCAAACCUUUGCGUACAGCUCUGGUUCAAAAAUUGCUGGGACUAGCCAUCUCAAGAGGCACAUCACCUUGGGUUCCUGUCCUAAGAUAAAAGGCCAAGGGCAUAAGCUAGCAAUUACAAUUGGGACUGACAAUGAUGGUGAUGGUACUGUGGAGAGGCGGUCUAAGAGGCGUUACAGAUAUACUGGUUAUGCGAAUGCGUCUUUUGAUCAAGACCGCAGUUAUUCAUACUUGGCAAAGAUGAUCAUUUUGCAUGACUAUCCGCUCCACAUUGUUCAACAACCAGCCUUCACUGCUUUUAUUGAUAGUCUGCAGCCUCGUUUCAGGGUUGUUGAUGUUGAUGCAAUGGAGGUGGAGGUUUAUGCUGUUUAUCAGAAAGAAAAAGAGAACCUUUUGCAAGCAUUCAGCGCUAUGCCUGGAAGGAUCAGCCUCACCAUUGGAUUGUGGACAACUAGUCAAACUCUUGGCUAUGUUUCAGUUUCUGGGCAGUUCAUUGACUCUGAAUGGAAAUUACAUCGAAGAAUGCUUAGCUUCAUGAUGGUGUCUUCGCCUCAUUCGGACAAUGCACUUAGUGAAGCUAUUAGCUCAAGCCUUACUGACUGGGGUAUGAAGGAGAAGCUAUUUACCAUCACGUUGGAUAAUGAUUCCUUAUCUCAUGACAUCUACAGUGCAAAUCUGAGAGAUCAGCUCUCCAGUAAGAAUAACCUCAUGCUUAAGGGUCAGCUAUUUGUUGUGAGGUGCUAUGCCCAUAUCCUGGAUGCGGCUGCACAAGAUGUCAUUGCUUUAAUCCACGGUGUCAUCUACAGCAUCCGCGAAAGCAUAAAGUUCAUAAAAGCUUCUCCUAGUCGUGAGGAAAAGUUUGCUGAGAUUGCUCUGCAGCUGGAGAUCCCCAGUACGAAGACCCUUUGUCUGGAUGUUACAACCCAGUGGAACACAACCUAUCUGAUGCUCUUGGCUGCCUUGGAUUAUAGGCAGGCUUUCAUUACACUAGAAACAGUUGAUGAAAACUACAAUGAAGCACCUUCAGCUGAGGACUGGAAAAAAAUUGAGGCUGCCUGCAAUUACUUGAGGCUGCUCUAUGACUCGGCUCAUAGCAUCAUGGCAGCAGGAAACCCAACCUCAAACAUUUUCUUCCAUGAAGCUUGGAAACUGCAGCUAGAGCUGGGAAAUGGUUCAGCACACGAAGAUCCAAUUUUCAGUAGCAUCGCCAAAGACAUGUAUGAGAGGUUUGACAAAUACUGGAAAGAUUGCAACCUUGUGUUAGCUGUUGCUGUUGUGAUGGAUCCACGUUUUAAGAUGAAGCUUGUUGAGUUCAGUUACUCAAAGAUUUACGGCGUUGAGGCUGCAAAGUAUGUUAAGGUGGUAAAUGAUUCGGUGCAUGACCUUUUUAAGGAUUAUGUGGCACAGCCGCUCCCCUUAACACCGGCCUAUGCUGAACAAGGGAAAACUGAUAAUGCUACUGCCAAUGGGAACAACACCCAAGCAACUCAACCUUCAACUGGUGAUGGCCUUCAAGACUUUGAUAUAUAUCUUUCUGAGAUUGCUACAACCCAGCCCUCAAAAUCUGAGCUAGAGCAGUACCUGGACGAGUCUCUUACUCCUCGCAUCCAAGAGUUCGACAUUCUCAAUUGGUGGAAGCUCAACAUGCAGAAGUAUCCGACGCUCUCAAAGAUGGCGCGGGAUAUCUUGGCCAUCCCAGUGUCCAUGGUGACCGGCGGCACCUCUAUAUUUUCUGCAGGAACAGGGUGCCAUGUGCUCGACGACUACAGAAGCUCGCUCCGUCCGGAAAUCGUGGAGGCGCUCGUCUGUGCAAAGGACUGGCUUCCGAAUUCGACCGCCGCACCGGAGGCCGUGCCGGGCUCUGGGCUUCUCAAGAUGGACUAG
RNAcentral lists this ribosomal RNA (2442 nucleotides) under Triticum aestivum (bread wheat). RNAcentral's name for it is "partial small subunit ribosomal RNA". The record is from RNAcentral. Lineage: Eukaryota; Viridiplantae; Streptophyta; Magnoliopsida; Poales; Poaceae.